UAAGCACCUCGUUAGGCGAGGCGUCUACACGGAUACAGGCCACUGACCCCGAACGUCGAGAGACGCCCAGGGUCAGGACAGCUCCUCCCGGCUUAAGGGUUGAGCCCAAGUGGCUUCCGGGUUCCGGAUACGCCGUGUAGUGCCGAAGCUCUGACGAGUGGGGUGCGGC
RNAcentral lists this small RNA (169 nucleotides) under Mycobacterium celatum. RNAcentral's name for it is "Magnesium sequence". It matches the Rfam family "M-box riboswitch aptamer (ykoK leader)". From Rfam's summary of the family: M-box riboswitch, also know as ykoK leader is described as a metaloregulatory RNA that sense divalent metals and function as a genetic control element of genes related to divalent metal transport in bacteria. It was first reported upstream of the B.subtilis ykoK gene and genes with related functions in other bacteria. The record is from RNAcentral. Lineage: Bacteria; Bacillati; Actinomycetota; Actinomycetes; Mycobacteriales; Mycobacteriaceae.